This is a long non-coding RNA of Hipposideros armiger (great roundleaf bat), 1911 nucleotides long. RefSeq lists it as uncharacterized. The record is from RefSeq and is a predicted model, not a curated record. Lineage: Eukaryota; Metazoa; Chordata; Mammalia; Chiroptera; Hipposideridae. The transcript is spliced from 16 exons.
GUAUGAUGAUGGCUACGGGGCUGAAUAUGAUGACCAGACCUAUGAGACGUAUGAUAACAGCUAUGCCACCCAAACACAAAGUGUGCCUGAGUAUUAUGACUACGGUCAUGGAGUAAGUGAGGAUGCCUAUGACAGCUACGCACCAGAAGAAUGGGCCACGACCCGCUCCAGCCUGAAGGCACCACCACCAAGGUCAGCCAGAGGGGUAUUCAGGGAGCACCCCUAUGGUAGAUAUUGAAGGUCCUUCCCACCGUGACCUCACCUCAAAGACAAUUCAUAGCCUGUGGUCUCCACAUAAACAGCAACAAUACAAGUACACACAAGCAAAGAUCACAUAAUUGAACAGCAGAAGUGAUGGGCUAAGAAGGAUAAAGGAAAGGGCGCAGUAACAUCCGCGUGGACCAACACCAACCAGCAUGCAGGUUAUCAGUGCGUGCAACGUGGAAAGGGGAGAAGAUCAGCUGCUACCUGCCGCCAACAGCUGCAAAACUUCAAUCCAGCUAGGAAACAGAGAGGGGAAAAAAUACAUUCCUGAGUUGACGGAGGAACUGCUGACCAAAAUUAAUCUGAAUUGGGUGGACUUGAAGUUAUCUGUGUGCAAGCUCCAUACAUUCUAUCAGACGAUGCUGUCACUUGGUACGCGGAAGAUCCUACAACAACAAGGAGCUCACCAAAACACCAAAGCAAAUACAGGACAUUCACCUGUUGAAUAUGUCUGGAACUCCUGCUGUGUGUCCCAGAAUCACUUUCAUAGGCCAUUGUAUUUUUCCUGUCACUUCCACCAGAAGAUAUUAUUUACUACUUCGGAAAAUUUCUGUGUGUCCAGUGUUGGGUAAUGAAAAAAUAUUUACACCAGCCUCUCACAGUGUGAAGAUGUGAGAUCCAAAAACCGAAAGCUGGAAUACAUCGGACACUGACUGUGUGGAGGGUCAAAGAUUUUAACAAUGGAGUUGAGAAAACAGAGAGAAAUUAAAUAGCAUUGUCCUACUCUCAAAGUGGACAAAUCUGAAUCCUAACAAAGGUCUGACUCUAUAACAACAUAUGCCAGAAGAUGAUAUACUAUCUUCCGAUUUGCUGGCCAAAGAACAAGAGGCUUUGGAUUGGAACCAACAGAACCAGUGAGCCAGUUUACCAGCACACCGCUGCAUUACAUGCACAUUGUACAAGAAGAGGCCGGGGUCUCUGUGGUUGUGUCUCUGGGACUAAGAUUAUUGCUUUCUGGGUAAUUAUGUUUUCUUGACCACAACUUGCUAUGACCACUUAACACCCAAGCCUAACACAGAGCGUGGCACAUUGUAGCAUCAUGCUAAUUGAUUUUCAUCAUUAAAAGAUCCUCAAAUGGCAGCUGAAUUAUCAAAACCUUCAAAGAAAGUAUGCAUUGAACUUAGUGUUGCUUGAUUGACAGUGAAAUGGUUAUGUGCAAGAUCAGUAGUCACAUUUCCAACAGCGCACCAAGCAUGUGGAAUAGCAGUCCCCUGCCGGCUCCACAGCUCAGAUGUCCACCAUGGCUAGCAGCACCGAAAGAUGGAGCUCAGAGACCACCUCCUCUUUCCUAGUCAUCGGGAUCAGUCUGUCCAGUGAUGAAUUUGAGGUGAUCGAUCCCUGAGAAAAAUGGCCCUGUCAAAAAGUAGCUUCUACCAACAGGAAGAUCAAAAGUUGCCAUCCUCGUAGGGAUUGAACCUAGAGCACACGCACCAACAACUAUACAUAUAAACUAAGGUACUCUCCUCCAAAGAUAAUCCUGUUUUCCAUGGAAGACCGUGGGACUUCCAGUAGUUGGAGCUGGGGGCCGUCACCUGAAAGCAGUCAUACAUCUGUGUUUUUGCUCUUUCAUUUCUGAAAUCAAUUUAGGUUCAAGUAUGAGCGUCAGUAAUCAGACCCUGUCAUACAUCUGUAAUAUUUGAAAAUAAA